This 210-nucleotide unclassified non-coding RNA is filed under the name Hevea brasiliensis (rubber tree). Lineage: Eukaryota; Viridiplantae; Streptophyta; Magnoliopsida; Malpighiales; Euphorbiaceae. The record is from RNAcentral.
AUAUAUAUAUAUAUAUAUAGUGGAGAAAAGAAGCCAGCUUGGAACUGGAAAGCCACCGAAAUGGACGCGCUCUGAGGUUUCAACGGAGAGCGAGAGAAAUAUCAAGAGCAAGGGAGCAACAGGCGGCGCCAACUGGGUUUCAAAUCUCUGACACUCUCUCCUCUUUUCUAAGGGAAUGCCUUGCCUUCCCUAUUGAUACUACAUUUCAAU